GCGCAAGCGGGAGGCUCUGACACGCGGUCCAAACCCGGCCGCCGGGACCGCGCCGAGCCACUGGCGAGACCGCCCCGCAAAGGC
This 84-nucleotide non-coding RNA is filed under the name unclassified sequences. Its description in RNAcentral is "c-di-GMP sequence". It matches the Rfam family "c-di-GMP-II-GAG riboswitch aptamer". The record is from Rfam by way of RNAcentral.